UAUGAAUCUAGUGGAAUCACUUCUGCACAAACUUGACUACUGUAAUCAGUGUGCGGAAAUGCUUCUGCUACAUUUUUA
Molecule: microRNA precursor, 78 nt
Organism: Phalacrocorax carbo (great cormorant)
Lineage: Eukaryota; Metazoa; Chordata; Aves; Suliformes; Phalacrocoracidae
Rfam family: mir-147 microRNA precursor family
Source: Rfam